This 253-nucleotide ribosomal RNA is filed under the name uncultured bacterium. Its description in RNAcentral is "partial 16S ribosomal RNA". It matches the Rfam family "Bacterial small subunit ribosomal RNA", at positions 524 to 776 of the family's 1533-position model. The record is from RNAcentral.
UACGAAGGGGGCGAGCGUUGUUCGGAAUCACUGGGCGUAAAGGGCGCGUAGGCGGCCCUCCUUGUCGCGUGUGAAAGCCCCGGGCUCAACCUGGGAACGGCGCGCGAGACGGGGGGGCUGGAGUUCGGGAGAGGAGCGUGGAAUUCCCAGUGUAGAGGUGAAAUUCGUAGAUAUUGGGAAGAACACCGGUGGCGAAGGCGGCGCUCUGGACCGAGACUGACGCUGAGGCGCGAAAGCUAGGGGAGCAAACAGG